GCACAGAGUUGGAAGAUGAAUGCACACAUGUGUGGCCAGAGCAGGGUCAAUGCUGUGGUAACCACCAAGACACGGGAGCUCCCCUUCUCCAGAGAAAAGGGAGGGCAGGGCCAGAAGAGCAGUUCUCCAGGCCCAGAAGUAAGCUACACCCACAAUUCUGUAUGCAGCUGUGAGAAAGGAGAGUGGAAAUCCAAGUCAAUGCAGUAUCACCGUGUUCCCAAUCACGAGUAUUCCACUGGGCCCACUGGCUGCCAAGACAUGGAUGGGAUCCAGUGAUGAGCGCCCUGGAAUUCCAUGGAAGACAGCACAAAACCAAUAAAACCACUGGUGUUCAGUUACUCUGGCUUCUAAUUCCUCAGAGUUCCUACAUCUAAGACUUUCAAGGCUCAAUUUUUGGCCUCUGUCCCUUCGCAUAUUUAUUUCCUGAUCUGAUGUGGAAUUAGAGUUAAAUAGGAGCUGUGUGCUUGAAUUCCACGUGGCUGGCUCAGCAGGAAACUCCAGGGCAGGUUUUUUGGCAUGCCAAACUUAUGUUAGCCUCAGCUAUGCUAAUUUCUAAAGCUGUUUGCUUUGCUCAAAUAAAUCUUAGAGACCAAUUUGCAUUUGGAUGCACACCUUUUUAUGCACAAUUUAUGUGCAUGAUAACUCUAGGGCAAAAAAAAAGAAAAAAGGUCUGGUUUUGUGAGGCAGGCACUAUGCUAAGGGCUUUACACACAUUUUCUUUUUUGUUUUGUUUUUUUUUUUUUUUGAGACAGGAGUUUCACUCUUGUUGCCCAGGCUGGAGUGCAAUGGCGCCAUCUUGGCUCACCGCAACCUCCACCUCCCAGGUUCAAGCGAUUCUCCUGCCUCAGCCUCCCUAGAAGCUGGGAUUACAGGCAUGUGCCACCAUGCCCAGCUAAUUUUGUAUUUUUAGUAGAGAUGGGGUUUCUCCAUGUUGGUCAGGCUGGUCUCAAACUCCCGACCUCAGGUGAUCCGCCCGCCUCAGCCUCCCAAAGUGCUGGGAUUACAGGCAUGAGCCACUGCGCCCGGCCUUACAUACAUUUUCUUAUCUCAUCUCCACAACAACCACAUGAGGUAGGGCUGGGAUCCCCAUUUUACAGAUGAGAAAACUGAAGUGAAGAGAGCUUAUGUAACUUGUCCAUGUUCACAGGGUGGUACAUGACAAAGCCUAGAUUUGAACCCAAUCUGUCUGAAUCUGAACCCCAUGUACUUGUCACUUACUCAUACUACCUUACUGAUACCUUCAUCAUCAUCUCCCCUCCCCUAAGCCACUGGGCAUAUAUUCAAACGUAAACUCUACAUUUACAAAAUUAGUUACCCUUUUUUUCCCACUUGGCCUACGUAAAAUAUGUCUUUGGUCCUUGGGAAAUAAAUGUGGACCCCUCCGUAUCACAAAACAAUCAACCAAAGGAGAACAGGGGCACAAUAAGGCAAACUUUAUAUGAUACACCAAUUACAUUAGUAAUUAGUAGACAAACACAAU
RNAcentral lists this long non-coding RNA (1480 nucleotides) under Homo sapiens (human). RNAcentral's name for it is "HSALNT0336079". Lineage: Eukaryota; Metazoa; Chordata; Mammalia; Primates; Hominidae. The record is from RNAcentral.